GAUGAACGCUGGCGGCGUGCCUAAUACAUGCAAGUCGAGCGAACAGACGAGGAGCUUGCUCCUCUGACGUUAGCGGCGGACGGGUGAGUAACACGUGGAUAACCUACCUAUAAGACUGGGAUAACUUCGGGAAACCGGAGCUAAUACCGGAUAACAUGUUGAACCGCAUGGUUCAACAGUGAAAGACGGUCUUGCUGUCACUUAUAGAUGGAUCCGCGUCGCAUUAGCUAGUUGGUAAGGUAACGGCUUACCAAGGCAACGAUGCGUAGCCGACCUGAGAGGGUGAUCGGCCACACUGGAACUGAGACACGGUCCAGACUCCUACGGGAGGCAGCAGUAGGGAAUCUUCCGCAAUGGGCGAAAGCCUGACGGAGCAACGCCGCGUGAGUGAAGAAGGUCUUCGGAUCGUAAAACUCUGUUAUUAGGGAAGAACAAAUGUGUAAGUAACUAUGCACGUCUUGACGGUACCUAAUCAGAAAGCCACGGCUAACUACGUG
Molecule: ribosomal RNA, 497 nt
Filed under: uncultured bacterium
Lineage: Bacteria
Description: partial 16S ribosomal RNA
Rfam family: Bacterial small subunit ribosomal RNA
Source: RNAcentral